Molecule: ribosomal RNA, 253 nt
Filed under: uncultured bacterium
Lineage: Bacteria
Description: partial 16S ribosomal RNA
Rfam family: Bacterial small subunit ribosomal RNA
Source: RNAcentral
UACGAAGGGGGCUAGCGUUGCUCGGAAUUACUGGGCGUAAAGGGAGCGUAGGCGGACUGUUUAGUCAGAGGUGAAAGCCCAGGGCUCAACCUUGGAAUUGCCUUUGAUACUGGCAGUCUUGAGUACGGAAGAGGUAUGUGGAACUCCGAGUGUAGAGGUGAAAUUCGUAGAUAUUCGGAAGAACACCAGUGGCGAAGGCGACAUACUGGCUCAUUACUGACGCUGAGGCGCGAAAGCGUGGGGAGCAAACAGG